Molecule: ribosomal RNA, 158 nt
Filed under: Hodophilus micaceus
Lineage: Eukaryota; Fungi; Basidiomycota; Agaricomycetes; Agaricales; Clavariaceae
Also listed under: 1 other name
Description: 5.8S ribosomal RNA
Rfam family: 5.8S ribosomal RNA
About the family: 5.8S ribosomal RNA (5.8S rRNA) is a component of the large subunit of the eukaryotic ribosome. It is transcribed by RNA polymerase I as part of the 45S precursor that also contains 18S and 28S rRNA.
Source: RNAcentral
ACAACUUUCAACAACGGAUCUCUUGGUUCUCGCAUCGAUGAAGAACGCAGCGAAUUGCGAUAUGUAAUGUGAAUUGCAGAAUUCAGUGAAUCAUCGAAUCUUUGAACGCACAUUGCACCCUCUAGUAUUCUGGAGGGUAUGCCUGUUUGAGUGUCAUU